This 1515-nucleotide ribosomal RNA is filed under the name Escherichia coli. RNAcentral describes it as "partial 23S ribosomal RNA". It matches the Rfam family "Bacterial large subunit ribosomal RNA", at positions 165 to 1721 of the family's 2925-position model. The record is from RNAcentral. Lineage: Bacteria; Pseudomonadati; Pseudomonadota; Gammaproteobacteria; Enterobacterales; Enterobacteriaceae.
CAUAGGUUAAUGAGGCGAACCGGGGGAACUGAAACAUCUAAGUACCCCGAGGAAAAGAAAUCAACCGAGAUUCCCCCAGUAGCGGCGAGCGAACGGGGAGCAGCCCAGAGCCUGAAUCAGUAUGUGUGUUAGUGGAAGCGUCUGGAAAGGCGCGCGAUACAGGGUGACAGCCCCGUACACAAAAAUGCACAUGCUGUGAGCUCGAUGAGUAGGGCGGGACACGUGGUAUCCUGUCUGAAUAUGGGGGGACCAUCCUCCAAGGCUAAAUACUCCUGACUGACCGAUAGUGAACCAGUACCGUGAGGGAAAGGCGAAAAGAACCCCGGCGAGGGGAGUGAAAAAGAACCUGAAACCGUGUACGUACAAGCAGUGGGAGCACGCUUAGGCGUGUGACUGCGUACCUUUUGUAUAAUGGGUCAGCGACUUAUAUUCUGUAGCAAGGUUAACCGAAUAGGGGAGCCGAAGGGAAACCGAGUCUUAACUGGGCGUUAAGUUGCAGGGUAUAGACCCGAAACCCGGUGAUCUAGCCAUGGGCAGGUUGAAGGUUGGGUAACACUAACUGGAGGACCGAACCGACUAAUGUUGAAAAAUUAGCGGAUGACUUGUGGCUGGGGGUGAAAGGCCAAUCAAACCGGGAGAUAGCUGGUUCUCCCCGAAAGCUAUUUAGGUAGCGCCUCGUGAAUUCAUCUCCGGGGGUAGAGCACUGUUUCGGCAAGGGGGUCAUCCCGACUUACCAACCCGAUGCAAACUGCGAAUACCGGAGAAUGUUAUCACGGGAGACACACGGCGGGUGCUAACGUCCGUCGUGAAGAGGGAAACAACCCAGACCGCCAGCUAAGGUCCCAAAGUCAUGGUUAAGUGGGAAACGAUGUGGGAAGGCCCAGACAGCCAGGAUGUUGGCUUAGAAGCAGCCAUCAUUUAAAGAAAGCGUAAUAGCUCACUGGUCGAGUCGGCCUGCGCGGAAGAUGUAACGGGGCUAAACCAUGCACCGAAGCUGCGGCAGCGACGCUGAUGCGUUGUUGGGUAGGGGAGCGUUCUGUAAGCCUGCGAAGGUGUGCUGUGAGGCAUGCUGGAGGUAUCAGAAGUGCGAAUGCUGACAUAAGUAACGAUAAAGCGGGUGAAAAGCCCGCUCGCCGGAAGACCAAGGGUUCCUGUCCAACGUUAAUCGGGGCAGGGUGAGUCGACCCCUAAGGCGAGGCCGAAAGGCGUAGUCGAUGGGAAACAGGUUAAUAUUCCUGUACUUGGUGUUACUGCGAAGGGGGGACGGAGAAGGCUAUGUUGGCCGGGCGACGGUUGUCCCGGUUUAAGCGUGUAGGCUGGUUUUCCAGGCAAAUCCGGAAAAUCAAGGCUGAGGCGUGAUGACGAGGCACUGCGGUGCUGAAGCAACAAAUGCCCUGCUUCCAGGAAAAGCCUCUAAGCAUCAGGUAACAUCAAAUCGUACCCCAAACCGACACAGGUGGUCAGGUAGAGAAUACCAAGGCGCUUGAGAGAACUCGGGUGAAGGAACUAGGCAAA